Molecule: transfer RNA, 77 nt
Filed under: Desulfovibrio sp.
Lineage: Bacteria; Pseudomonadati; Thermodesulfobacteriota; Desulfovibrionia; Desulfovibrionales; Desulfovibrionaceae
Description: tRNA-Arg
Rfam family: tRNA
About the family: Transfer RNA (tRNA) molecules are approximately 80 nucleotides in length. Their secondary structure includes four short double-helical elements and three loops (D, anti-codon, and T loops).
Source: RNAcentral
GCGCCCGUAGCUCAGCUGGAUAGAGUGUUGGCCUCCGGAGCCAAAGGUCCCGCGUUCGAAUCGCGGCGGGCGCGCCA